UCUUACAAACUCCAUUAGAGUUAUAAUCAAACUUUGUUGUCUAUGCUUUGUAUAUAAAAUCACGAACGCGGAACCGAGGUCGAACAUGGAACCGAGGUCGAAAUCUCGAAUUUCUGUUUCCAAUCUUCUUCACGUUUUCUAUUUCUGUUUUCUGUUUCUUUCUUCUCCUUUGUUUUCAAUUUUUUUUUCUUCCUCUUCAACGUUUUCUUUUCCUUUUGCUUUCCAGUGUUUUUUUUCUCCUUCUUUUGUUUUCUGUUUUUCGUUCCUCCCAUUUUUUUUUU
This 281-nucleotide long non-coding RNA is filed under the name Nicotiana benthamiana. RNAcentral's name for it is "long non-coding RNA (NBEN_LNC038785)". The record is from RNAcentral. Lineage: Eukaryota; Viridiplantae; Streptophyta; Magnoliopsida; Solanales; Solanaceae.